Long non-coding RNA from Homo sapiens (human), 1042 nucleotides. Ensembl annotates it as maternally expressed 3. Its record names the gene MEG3. NCBI's taxonomy places the organism in Eukaryota, Metazoa, Chordata, Mammalia, Primates, Hominidae. The record is from Ensembl.
ACGUGGGAAGGGACCUCGAAUGUGGGACCCCAGCCCCUCUCCAGCUCGAAAUCGAGCUACAACUCUCCUUGGCCUCCUCUUGUGACUCCCAACUCCCUCCUUGGGAAGCUUGGCCUCAGGACCUCUGGGAUAGACAGGCCACGAAUCCUGCUGUGUCCCGUUGUGUUCCUAAUAUAAAUGGUGUGGAUGGCACUUGACCUAGAGCAGUGGGAAAUGCAUGCACCACUCAACAUUCUGACAUGUCACCCAUUUUACAUUCUUACAGGCAUACUUUUUUUAAAAAAAGAGUGUCUAUUCUUUAAUGAGCAUCCCUUCUUUAAAAAAACCUAAUUGCCAUUAUUCACCACAUACACUUUUUUUUUUUUGUAUCCUGCCUCUUCUAUUUAAUUUUCUGUCAUCAACAUUUUCCCUUGUUCCAUGAAUCUUCAUAACCUCACUUGCUGCGUUGUGCCUUGUUGAGUGGCUAUGGCAUCAUUCACAGAACCAUUCUGUUAUUCUUAUGUAUAACCACCUUUUAAAAAUAUUAUGAAUAAUGCCACAACUAACUGCUUAAAACACCCUUUUUUUCAUUCUUAAGAAUUAUGUUCUUCCACCCAGAAAUUAUCAUUGCUUCACUACAGAUCAGUUUCCCCUGCUAGACUGUGAGCCCCAUAAGGGCAAGGAGCUUAUUGAAUUGGCCUUUGUAUCUCUGAUGCCCAACAUGUUGUAGACUAUAAAUAAAUGAUGAAUGAGUGGAUGGAAGAAUGGAGGAAGGAGCGAGUGAGUGAGUGUUUGGCUGAUGGAUAAGAGGGUGGAAGGAUAGGCGGAAGGAUGGAUUGGUGAAUGAAUGAAUGAAUUUCCUUUGGUUAAGUCUCUUGAAAGAAAGGCUAUGGAUCUUUGUAUGGAUGUUGAAUAAUUUCAGUAAGCUUACAGCAUUUUACAAUGUUCAGCAAUGUAUGACCACUUAAUUAAGAUAUGGCUAGUUUGUCUCUGUUAUAAAGUACUUUUGCAUUACUUUAACUUGCAUUGCUUUAAUUACUAAUGAUGGGUGAACACUUUGACC